RNAcentral lists this ribosomal RNA (466 nucleotides) under uncultured bacterium. RNAcentral describes it as "partial 16S ribosomal RNA". It matches the Rfam family "Bacterial small subunit ribosomal RNA", at positions 29 to 506 of the family's 1533-position model. The record is from RNAcentral.
ACGAACGCUGGCGGCGUGCUUAACACAUGCAAGUCGAACGGAAAGGCCCUGCUUUUGUGGGGUGCUCGAGUGGCGAACGGGUGAGUAACACGUGAGUAACCUGCCCUUGACUUUGGGAUAACUUCAGGAAACUGGGGCUAAUACCGGAUAGGAGCUCCUGCUGCAUGGUGGGGGUUGGAAAGUUUCGGCGGUUGGGGAUGGACUCGCGGCUUAUCAGCUUGUUGGUGGGGUAGUGGCUUACCAAGGCUUUGACGGGUAGCCGGCCUGAGAGGGUGACCGGCCACAUUGGGACUGAGAUACGGCCCAGACUCCUACGGGGGGCAGGAGGGGGGAAUAUUGCACAAUGGGCGGAAGCCUGAAGCAGCAACGCCGCGUGCGGGAUGACGGCCUUGGGGUUGUAAACCGCUUUCGCCUGGGACGAAGCGGGGGGGACGGUAAUGGGAAAAAAAGCCCCGGCAAACUACGG